RNAcentral lists this long non-coding RNA (1535 nucleotides) under Struthio camelus australis. RNAcentral describes it as "lncRNA (ENSSCUG00000007022.1)". The record is from RNAcentral. Lineage: Eukaryota; Metazoa; Chordata; Aves; Struthioniformes; Struthionidae.
AGCGGCUCCUCCUGUGAAGCUGACAGGCGCAGGCGGCACUGGCCCCGUGACGUGCUCGGGGCCCGUCUGGGAUGGCACCUCUGCCCUGAGGGCCCUGCACAUCCCCACCCUUCCUGCAGCCAGCUCCCCCAAAGCCCUGAGACCCCCCACAAAUCCCGCUCCAGCCCCCCCACUACCUCCACCCGUCUCCAAACCCUACCGCAACCUGUUCAUUGACUCCAGGCCUCGCCCACAACUCUGUCCCCAGGCAGCGCCAAAGCCCCUCGCGGACCCUGUCCCCAUGGCAACGAGGUACCCUCCUAAAGAGGGGCUGCGAUGUGUGUGUGUCCUGGACUCAGUCCCGCUUUAGAGACAAGAGAAUUUGUAGCGCUUGCUGGGGAAGGUCGUGGACAGGUGGGUGCGCAGGGGUCAAGCAGAGGUUUCUCUCUCUUGUCCUGAGGCCCCUCUGAGAAGCCUUUGGCCCUGUGAGAGGGCUCUCUGAAGGCGGCUGGUCUAGGAUAACUGUGCUGUGUGCAGUGCUUUGGGAGAGCUUGAGCCUGAAGUUGCAGGCUAAGGAAGAGCCUAAACAAAUAAAAGGCUCAGGAAAAGCCUAGGAGAAGACUGAAGGGCUGAGGAAGCCCCGGCCGUGCUGUCGGGAAAAGCAUGGGUUUCAGGCCCAUCCUCAGGGAAGGAAGAGAGUUGUUACUCCAGCCCGUAGGACAAUGGGUGCUAUUAAUUACCCGCUUUAAUUACGAGAAGCAGAAAGGGCUAGAGAUGAUGCCUAGCAGAUUCUGGACUAUACGUAAAGUGGCAACAAACCACCCCCCCUUCACACAGAAACGGGUUAGUGCUAAGUAGUAGGUGAAUGUAGCUUUGAGUAAUGUGAGAAGCAGCGGUUAGGUCGGUCACCCUGAAAGCCUUGAGGAAGCGAUCCAAAAAUCUGAUACCUGCGUGGCCUCAUCAGUCCUUGUGGUUUGUUUGGCAGGGUGCUGCACGGAAGGAGGAUGUGUGGGAGAAGAACAGCCUGGACCUCGUGCUCCGCUGGUUCGCUUUGGUCAUCCCCGCUGAGACAAGUAUCCGCUUAUAGGAGGAACCUAGGAGACGCAUCAAAGAGAGAGAGACACCUGAGAGAUGUCUAUUUCAAAGGGGAAAAAUCCAGAGAAUGGAAACAAUGUUCCAUUCAGAGUGGCUUGUGGGGACAGACAGGUAGGAGGCCUGCAGUGUUUUUAUCUCAUAGCUUAAUUUCUUUGUCUCCUUCACUCUGCUAAAGCUGAAAAGUGUAAACUCGCUCUUGCUCAGAGCGAGCACCAGGAUGGCCACUUUCUAUUUGCUGUUUGGGUUUGUAAGUUGGUCCUUCCCUGUUGGCUCAGGAUGAUUUUUGAGGAAUGUCCUUGCAAAUUGGCUCUGACUUGAACUUUGCAUUCCCUGUGGGAAAUCCAAGUAGCCAUGUCCAGGGAACAGGACCAGCAGCAGCAGGCAAGUAGAGGAGGGUUUGUUGGGGGAGCUCAGGGAGGUGGUGGAGGUAAGCGUGCCCUUGCGUUGCCUGGAAAGGCAAG